Molecule: non-coding RNA, 343 nt
Organism: Chelonoidis abingdonii (Abingdon island giant tortoise)
Lineage: Eukaryota; Metazoa; Chordata; Testudines; Testudinidae
Source: RefSeq, a predicted model, not a curated record
GCUCAGGUCCUUAGGAACCUGGGAUGCUGUGAGGGGGGAAGCGAUCAGCGACCCCGGCUCUGCAGUGCCUGGCUCUGCGCAUGUGUCCAAGUCGCUUCUCCUCUCAGAGCCUGCAGGGUGGCGAACGGCUGAUGGGGGCGGCAGGAGGUGCAAGGGCUGUACAGUGUCCAUGGAGGGCAGGGCUCUGAGUAGGUCGUGCCCGAUGGUUGCUGGAUGCCUGGAGAGUCUGGGCUGUAUCCCCAGAAGGGUUGCAGAGCAGGGAGUGAUGGUCCCUUUCUGUGCUGCUCUAGGGGGAGGACUUGGGCCCCGGCUCAGCUGAUGGGCUCUGUGACUGCUCCAAACA